AUUGAACGCUGGCGGCAUGCCUUACACAUGCAAGUCGAACGGUAACGGAUCCUUCGGGAUGCCGACGAGUGGCGAACGGGUGAGUAAUACAUCGGAACGUGCCUGGUAGUGGGGGAUAACUACUCGAAAGAGUGGCUAAUACCGCAUGAGAUCUCAGGAUGAAAGCAGGGGACCUUCGGGCCUUGCGCUAUCAGAGCGGCCGAUGGCAGAUUAGGUAGUUGGUGGGAUAAAAGCUUACCAAGCCGACGAUCUGUAGCUGGUCUGAGAGGACGAUCAGCCACACUGGGACUGAGACACGGCCCAGACUCCUACGGGAGGCAGCAGUGGGGAAUUUUGGACAAUGGGCGCAAGCCUGAUCCAGCAAUGCCGCGUGCAGGAUGAAGGCCUUCGGGUUGUAAACUGCUUUUGUACGGAACGAAAAGCUUCGGGCUAAUACCCUGGAGUCAUGACGGUACCGUAAGAAUAAGCACCGGCUAACUACGUG
RNAcentral lists this ribosomal RNA (484 nucleotides) under uncultured bacterium. RNAcentral's name for it is "bacterial SSU rRNA". It matches the Rfam family "Bacterial small subunit ribosomal RNA", at positions 30 to 507 of the family's 1533-position model. The record is from RNAcentral.